GCCUCAGUAGCUCAGCCUGGCAGAGCGACCGCCUUGUAAGCGGUAGGUCGAGGGUUCAAAUCCCUCCUGGGGCU
This 74-nucleotide transfer RNA is filed under the name Microcaldota archaeon. RNAcentral describes it as "Candidatus Micrarchaeota archaeon (hot springs metagenome) tRNA-Thr". It matches the Rfam family "tRNA". From Rfam's summary of the family: Transfer RNA (tRNA) molecules are approximately 80 nucleotides in length. Their secondary structure includes four short double-helical elements and three loops (D, anti-codon, and T loops). The record is from RNAcentral. Lineage: Archaea; Nanobdellati; Microcaldota. RNAcentral also lists the same sequence under 1 other name.